ACCAGACUCCUACGGGAGGCAGCAGUGGGGAAUAUUGCACAAUGGGGGAAACCCUGAUGCAGCGACGCCGCGUGAGUGAAGAAGUAUUUCGGUAUGUAAAGCUCUAUCAGCAGGGAAGAAAAUGACGGUACCUGACUAGGAAGCCCCGGCUAACUACGUGCCAGCAGCCGCGGUAAUACGUAGGGGGCAAGCGUUAUCCGGAUUUACUGGGUGUAAAGGGAGCGUAGACGGUGAUGCAAGUCAGAAGUGAAAGCCCGGGGCUCAACUCCGGGACUGCUUUUGAAACUGUGUGACUGGAGUGCAGGAGAGGUAAGCGGAAUUCCUGGUGUAGCGGUGAAAUGCGUAGAUAUCAGGAGGAACACCAGUGGCGAAGGCGGCUUACUGGACUGUAAAUGACGCUGAGGCUCGAAAGCGUGGGGAGCAAACAGGAUUAGAUACCCGGGUACA
This 447-nucleotide ribosomal RNA is filed under the name uncultured bacterium. Its description in RNAcentral is "bacterial SSU rRNA". It matches the Rfam family "Bacterial small subunit ribosomal RNA", at positions 330 to 794 of the family's 1533-position model. The record is from RNAcentral.